RNAcentral lists this ribosomal RNA (253 nucleotides) under uncultured bacterium. RNAcentral describes it as "partial 16S ribosomal RNA". It matches the Rfam family "Bacterial small subunit ribosomal RNA", at positions 524 to 776 of the family's 1533-position model. The record is from RNAcentral.
UACGUAGGGUGCAAGCGUUAAUCGGAAUUACUGGGCGUAAAGCGUGCGCAGGCGGUUUUGUAAGUCUGAUGUGAAAUCCCCGGGCUCAACCUGGGAAUUGCAUUGGAGACUGCAAGGCUAGAAUCUGGCAGAGGGGGGUAGAAUUCCAGGUGUAGCAGUGAAAUGCGUAGAGAUGUGGAGGAACACCGAUGGCGAAGGCAGCCCCCUGGGUCAAGAUUGACGCUCAUGCACGAAAGCGUGGGGAGCAAACAGG